GGAUCUAGUUAUUAACGUAUCAAAUACAUCCUUUAAUCAAAAAGACUGUUAGUUACGUCUUAAGAACCCAUACAACAUUUAAGCGUCGUAUGACUUCUUUUCAAUAGCUGGACUUCCUUAUGAUUGUUUGACCAGGUCAAACCUAAUCUUAGCCAUCCAAAUCUCAUGCCAUAAUCUGAUUAAGGUCUUGGAUUUAAUUUAAAACCCUGGGAGAGAAUUGAUACAUGAAAAGUUACGAAGAACUUUUCAGCCUUCUAGAAUUGGCGCCACC
Molecule: long non-coding RNA, 271 nt
Filed under: Elaeis guineensis (African oil palm)
Lineage: Eukaryota; Viridiplantae; Streptophyta; Magnoliopsida; Arecales; Arecaceae
Description: long non-coding RNA (EGUI_LNC053864)
Source: RNAcentral